GUGUCAUCAUGCUUGUACAUCCCAGACCCCACUUUCCUGAGGGUACCAUUAGACAACGGGACACCAAGAUCCAGCUUCCCUAUGGACCAUGGAGUGUUUCCUGUGCCCAAGAAAUGGACUGUCCCCAGUCACCAGGGCUUGAAUGAGCGUAAAGAUGAGCGAUUCCUGAAGGACCUAGACUUCCUUUCCUCUGAACCUUGAUGCCGUCCAGGCCAUGAUGGAUGAUGAAACCAGGAGGGCCCUGGCUGAGUCGUCAGAGGAAGACUCUGAAGUCAGAGGAUCCCCCAAGAAGCUCAGACACAUGUGGUGCAUGGUUGUCUGGCAAAGUGGGAGGAUGUUCCCUGCCUGACUCCUGUCCUCUGGCAGCCCCGAUGGGCCCAUUUUGGGUCAUUUCACUCAUAAUAUCUGCAAAGAGCUGGACAUGACUGAGCAGCUGAGCACACACUUAAACACAUCAGAGUGACGUCAGAAUCCCCAUCCUUUGGCUUCAGCUGUGGUGAAGGCAGAGCUGUUCUCAGAACAUCAUUGAAAGUGUUUUCUUAUAAAGAGCCCACUGCACGUGCCCUUGUCGGUCUAAGCAUGAGGGUGAGAAAAAUAACCCAGGGAGCAGGCAUGAAUUUAGCAGCGAAUCACACCCCCUCUGAUUUCGUGGAUGGUGACCAGACCUCCCACCAGGUAUCCUGACUGAGAAGAGAAGGGGCC
Molecule: long non-coding RNA, 702 nt
Filed under: Capra hircus (goat)
Lineage: Eukaryota; Metazoa; Chordata; Mammalia; Artiodactyla; Bovidae
Description: lncRNA (ENSCHIG00000007072.1)
Source: RNAcentral